RNAcentral lists this ribosomal RNA (481 nucleotides) under uncultured bacterium. RNAcentral's name for it is "partial 16S ribosomal RNA". It matches the Rfam family "Bacterial small subunit ribosomal RNA", at positions 28 to 507 of the family's 1533-position model. The record is from RNAcentral.
GAUGAACGCUGGCGGCGUGCUUAACACAUGCAAGUCGAACGAAGCACUUUAUUUGAUUUCCUUCGGGACUGAUUAUUUUGUGACUGAGUGGCGGACGGGUGAGUAACGCGUGGGUAACCUGCCUUGUACAGGGGGAUAACAGUUGGAAACGGCUGCUAAUACCGCAUAAGCGCACGGCAUCGCAUGAUGCAGUGUGAAAAACUCCGGUGGUAUAAGAUGGACCCGCGUUGGAUUAGCUAGUUGGUGAGGUAACGGCCCACCAAGGCGACGAUCCAUAGCCGACCUGAAAGGGUGACCGGCCACAUUGGGACUGAGACACGGCCCAAACUCCUACGGGAGGCAGCAGUGGGGAAUAUUGCACAAUGGGCGAAAGCCUGAUGCAGCGACGCCGCGUGAGCGAAGAAGUAUUUCGGUAUGUAAAGCUCUAUCAGCAGGGAAGAUAAUGACGGUACCUGACGAAGAAGCACCGGCUAAAUACGUG